UACGUAGGGGGCAAGCGUUAUCCGGAUUCACUGGGCGUAAAGGGAGCGCAGGCGGCAUGGCAAGUCUGAUGUGAAAACCCGGGGCCCAACCCCGGGAGUGCAUUGGAAACUGCCAGGCUGGAGUGUCGGAGGGGUAAGCGGAAUUCCUAGUGUAGCGGUGAAAUGCGUAGAUAUUAGGAGGAACACCAGUGGCGAAGGCGGCUUACUGGACGACUACUGACGCUGAGGCUCGAAAGCGUGGGGAGCAA
Molecule: ribosomal RNA, 248 nt
Filed under: uncultured Roseburia sp.
Lineage: Bacteria; Bacillati; Bacillota; Clostridia; Lachnospirales; Lachnospiraceae
Description: partial 16S ribosomal RNA
Rfam family: Bacterial small subunit ribosomal RNA
Source: RNAcentral